UCAUGCUUUUAAAGAUGAAUG
This 21-nucleotide ribosomal RNA is filed under the name Arceuthobium hondurense. RNAcentral describes it as "partial 18S ribosomal RNA". The record is from RNAcentral. Lineage: Eukaryota; Viridiplantae; Streptophyta; Magnoliopsida; Santalales; Viscaceae.